AGCGUAUUUUGCGAUGGCGGAGUUCGACCGCCGGUCGAAGUGAUGAUCGAUUUCAUCGAUAUACAUCGCGGUGCGCAUGGGGUCGAGCCGAUCUGCGAGGUUCUGCCGAUCGCCCCA
Paracoccus halophilus is the source of this 117-nucleotide regulatory RNA element. It matches the Rfam family "ALIL pseudoknot". Lineage: Bacteria; Pseudomonadati; Pseudomonadota; Alphaproteobacteria; Rhodobacterales; Paracoccaceae. The record is from Rfam.